UUUCGCACCCGCUACGUCGCCCAACAACCACGACUUCAUCGCGGUUGCCACUCGGUGACCCGGCUCGGAUAUCCGCCACGUAGAACUGUUCGACCUGAAAAGGAAAGAUUUCAUCGAGUUGACUCGUCUGGUGUCGCCAAAGAGUCACCAUUUCAACCCGUUUCUCUCCCCUGAUUCGACACGGGUCGGAUACCACAGUUGCAGAGGGCAGGCCAACGGACAGACAACGUCUUCGCUUCUCCUCGAGAACAUCAAAUCAUCAUCGCCCGACCUUUCUCUCUUCAGAAUCGAAGGUGGGUUCCCGUCGUUUUCGUCGGCCGGUGACCGUAUCGCAUUCUUCACAUACACUGGUGUCUACGUCGUGAACGCUAGACAGCUGAAGUUGCCAAAAGACAAGCACGUGUGCGAGAAGCACCAUUCCCAGAAAAUGCCGCAAAUAUCCAAUUAGCAGAAGCAAGGAUGCACGAGUUGAAAGCGAAUAUGUCAGUUUUUGGAUCGGAAUGAGAAGUAUCACUCAAUAAAGUAAAGAGAGAAAUUGGUAAGGAGGUG
Molecule: long non-coding RNA, 549 nt
Organism: Tarenaya hassleriana
Lineage: Eukaryota; Viridiplantae; Streptophyta; Magnoliopsida; Brassicales; Cleomaceae
Exons: 3
Source: RefSeq, a predicted model, not a curated record